GUACACUCCUGCGGGAGGCAGCAGUGGGGAAUAUUGGACAAUGGGCGCAAGCCUGAUCCAGCCAUGCCGCGUGAGUGAUGAAGGCCCUAGGGUUGUAAAGCUCUUUUGUGCGGGAAGAUAAUGACGGUACCGCAAGAAUAAGCCCCGGCUAACUUCGUGCCAGCAGCCGCGGUAAUACGAAGGGGGCUAGCGUUGCUCGGAAUCACUGGGCGUAAAGGGUGCGUAGGCGGGUCUUUAAGUCAGGGGUGAAAUCCUGGAGCUCAACUCCAGAACUGCCUUUGAUACUGAAGAUCUUGAGUUCGGGAGAGGUGAGUGGAACUGCGAGUGUAGAGGUGAAAUUCGUAGAUAUUCGCAAGAACACCAGUGGCGAAGGCGGCUCACUGGCCCGAUACUGACGCUGAGGCACGAAAGCGUGGGGAGCAAACAGGAUUAGAUACCCCGGUAGUCCCAUG
RNAcentral lists this ribosomal RNA (452 nucleotides) under uncultured organism. Its description in RNAcentral is "partial 16S ribosomal RNA". It matches the Rfam family "Bacterial small subunit ribosomal RNA", at positions 331 to 799 of the family's 1533-position model. The record is from RNAcentral.